This 387-nucleotide ribosomal RNA is filed under the name Dinophyceae sp. RNAcentral describes it as "partial small subunit ribosomal RNA". It matches the Rfam family "Eukaryotic small subunit ribosomal RNA", at positions 582 to 975 of the family's 1831-position model. The record is from RNAcentral. Lineage: Eukaryota; Dinophyceae.
AUUCCAGCUCCAAUAGCGUAUAUUAAAGUUGUCGCGGUUAAAAAGCUCGUAGUUAGAUUUCUGCUGAGGACGACCGGUCCGCCCUCUGGGUGAGUAUCUGGCUCGGCCUUGGCAUAUUCUUGGAGAACGUAGCUGCACUUGAUUGUGUGGUGUGGUAUCCAGGAGUUUUACUUUUAGGAAAUUAGAGUUUUCAAGCAGGCACACGCCUUGAAUACAUUAGCGUAGAAUAAUAAGAUAGGACCUUGGUUCUAUUUUGUUGGUUUCUAGAGGUGAGGUAAUGAUUAAUAGGGAUAGUUGGGGGCAUUCGUAUUUAAUUGUCAGAAGUGGAGUUCUUGGAUUUGUUAAAGACGGACUAUUGCAAAAGCAUUUGCCAGGGAUGUUUCAUCG